This is a long non-coding RNA of Poeciliopsis prolifica (blackstripe livebearer), 255 nucleotides long. RefSeq lists it as uncharacterized. The record is from RefSeq and is a predicted model, not a curated record. The transcript is spliced from 3 exons. Lineage: Eukaryota; Metazoa; Chordata; Actinopteri; Cyprinodontiformes; Poeciliidae.
AAAUCAAGGAAACAUGGACGGCGUGCAUACUCUGCACCAGCUAUGCAAUCUCAGCUCUGAAAAGAAGAAAACAGAAGGUUUUACCCAAAUCAGAGCUUGGGAAAGUUGACAAACAGGAACGCCAGAGCUCAAGUACCAAGCAGACUGGAUUCAUAGUUCAACAAAAGACACGCGCUGAAAGCCAACAGAUGCUGCAAGAAAAGCCUUUCUUCUCAAGCAUUGUCCAGGGAAUUUGAGAUUUGUUCAGUAGCCACA